Phascolarctos cinereus (koala) is the source of this 706-nucleotide non-coding RNA. NCBI's taxonomy places the organism in Eukaryota, Metazoa, Chordata, Mammalia, Diprotodontia, Phascolarctidae. The record is from RefSeq and is a predicted model, not a curated record.
AGAUGAUGCUGGAGGGGGGAUCAAGAGGAGGAAAAAGAAAGGAUUGAAGAAACCUGUUCCUCCCCAGCCCCGCCCCACCCCAGGCUUCCUCCAGCUCCGAAACUCCCCAGGAGUAACUGGGGAAAUUGGGGAAGGGGAGAGAAUGUGGCAAGAUGGAAUCCAGCCAAGUGGAGAUGUCCAGAAAGAAGCUGGAAAUUCAGAAGAGAGUUGCAGAGCCAUGGCUGCGAUUAACAGUGGAUUUGGAGUCCCAGGACCAGGGUUCAGCUGCUUACUACUAGCAAGUCCGUUGACCUCCCGAGCCUCAGUUUCCUCUUUUAAGUAGAAGGUUGGACUUCGAGAAGACCCUAAAAGGCCAAAUCUACCACCUUGCGGACAAGCAACAGAUUGGCUUGCACUUGGCUGCGGAGGAGGACUAUUUUUUUAAAAUUAGGAACUAGAAAAUCAUGAACAUUUCCAUACAUAAAGGUCAGAAAGAGGACUAUAUGCAACUGUAAUCCACUUCAUACGGCUUAUUUUAAAAUAUAUAUAUAUGUACAUACAUUAUAUACGUGUACAUAUGUGCAUACAUACAUACACACAUACAUAUACACAAAUUUUCAGGCACCCAGACAUCUGGUCCUCGUCCUUCGCUGUCCUCAUCUCCACUUUUAAAAAGGAUUUUUUUUUUUUUUACUUUGCAUCAUAAUCACUGUUAGAGUUAGAAGGG